CGAUAAGCGUCGGGGAGGUGCGAAUACCCUUUGAUCCGACGAUUUCCGAAUGGGGCAACCCACCUUAGAUGACUAGAAAAUCUGUUUUGUUGGAGCAACGCUGGAUGGGUUUACACCCAUACAGACCGCUAGGUCGUCGGCCCAUGUGGGUCGCCCCCGCGGAGCGCCAGCAUUCCUCUGGAAUGCGUACGGCGCGUGAGCGAGAACAGCACAGCUUUCUAGUCAUCAUAAAUAAGGUAUCUAACCUUGAAUACAUAGGGGUUAGAAGCGAACCUGGGGAACUGAAACAUCUAAGUACCCAGAGGAAAGGACAUCAAACGAGACUCCGCUAGUAGUGGCGAGCGAACGCGGACCAGGCCAGUGGCUUUUGUGAAUAAAGUGGAACGAGUUGGAAAACUCGACCGAAGUGGGUGAUAGUCCCGUACACGUAGAAUAGCAGAAGUCCUUGAGUAGGGCGGGACACGUGAAAUCCUGUCUGAACAUGGGUCGACCACGAUCCAAGCCUAAGUACUCGUGCAUGACCGAUAGCGAACCAGUACCGUGAGGGAAAGGUGAAAAGCACCCCGACGAGGGGAGUGAAACAGUACCUGAAACCGGAUGCCUACAAACAGUUGGAGCCCAAGGUUUGUCCUGGGUGACAGCGUACCUUUUGUAUAAUGGGUCAGCGACUUAGUGUAUCGAGCAAGCUUAAGCCGGUAGGUGUAGGCGCAGCGAAAGCGAGUCUGAACAGGGCGUUCAGUUCGAUGCAUUAGACCCGAAACCAAGUGAUCUAGCCAUGAGCAGGUUGAAGGUACGGUAACACGUACUGGAGGACCGAACCCAUAUCUGUUGCAAUAGAUCGGGAUGACUUGUGGCUAGGGGUGAAAGGCCAAUCAAACUUGGAGAUAGCUGGUUCUCCGCGAAAUCUAUUUAGGUAGAGCGUCGACCGAAUACCCCCGGGGGUAGAGCACUGGAUGGGCUAUGGGGACUCACCGUCUUACUGAUCCUAACCAAACUCCGAAUACCGGGGAGUACUAGUCGGCAGACACACGGCGGGUGCUAACGUCCGUCGUGGAGAGGGCAACAACCCUGACCACCAUCUAAGGUCCCUAAGUUAUGGCUAAGUGGGAAAGGAUGUGAGGAUCCCAAAACAACCAGGAUGUUGGCUUAGAAGCAGCCAUCAUUUAAAGAAAGCGUAACAGCUCACUGGUCUAAAUAAGGGUCUUUGCGCCGAAAAUGUACCGGGGCUCAAGCCAUACACCGAAGCUGUGGAUGCACGUAUGUGCGUGGUAGCGGAGCGUUCCGUAAGCCUGUGAAGGGACAGUCGUGAGACAUCCUGGAGGUAUCGGAAGUGAGAAUGCUGACAUGAGUAACGAUAAAGGGAGUGAGAGACUCCCUCGCCGAAAGUCCAAGGGUUCCUGCUUAAAGUUAAUCUGAGCAGGGUUAGCCGGCCCCUAAGGCGAGGCCGAAAGGCGUAGUCGAUGGGAACCACGUUAAUAUUCGUGGGCCUGCAGGUAGUGACGGAUCGCGUGUGUUGUGAGGUCUUAUUGGAUUGAUCUUGCAGCGAAGCGGUUCCAGGAAAUAGCUCCUGCAUAUAGACCGUACCCUAAACCGACACUGGUGGACUGGUA
RNAcentral lists this ribosomal RNA (1610 nucleotides) under Brucella melitensis bv. 3 str. Ether. RNAcentral describes it as "bacterial LSU rRNA". It matches the Rfam family "Bacterial large subunit ribosomal RNA", at positions 69 to 1673 of the family's 2925-position model. The record is from RNAcentral. Lineage: Bacteria; Pseudomonadati; Pseudomonadota; Alphaproteobacteria; Hyphomicrobiales; Brucellaceae.